Long non-coding RNA from Rhodamnia argentea, 666 nucleotides. RefSeq lists it as uncharacterized. NCBI's taxonomy places the organism in Eukaryota, Viridiplantae, Streptophyta, Magnoliopsida, Myrtales, Myrtaceae. The transcript is spliced from 2 exons. The record is from RefSeq and is a predicted model, not a curated record.
CCAACGGCGAAAAUCGUGAGUGCACCGUGCGCGUAUACUGUUGGUUUUGGUCGAUCCCCAAAAGCCAACUAAAGCGCAACCUUUCCAGUAUUCCUUGUUUAGGCCAAGAAAAUUCGGGGCUUUACUACGUAAAUUCGAUUGCAUUGUUCCAACCCCAAUCCAGACAUUUUUUUUUUUUGUCUAUCUGCACAAGACGUUGGGCGUAAUUACCCCACUGAGAAGAAGCUUAACGAGUGGAUUAGUUGGCAUACCAGAUCAACUUAGCAACACGGAGGUGGGAGUUGAAGAAGAGGAUGAAUCAGCGAUUUGGUGGUGCGAGGCAGCCCACCGGCACUCCGUCGCUAGCCUGGUCAUGCGUCGUUGUCAUUGCCUCCCUCCUUGUUGGCGCCUCCGUUGUCCACAACAUCUACAAGCCUGAUCUGACGUUGCCGCCACUGGAGAACACUGAGGAGGCCAAGAAGCAACCCGAGGAGGAAUGAAGGAAAAGCUCCUGUCUUUGAUACUUAGAGAUGGUUUAGCUGCGAUAUUUUCCUCCUAGAUAAAGGGCAAACAACUAUUUUGUCAAUUGGCCAUUCUUUGAUCUUGCUUUGUUGUAUCCAUUCUAAGUCUCGACUGUGCUUUUGUACUUCCCAUCGCUCACUCAAUGAUUGUUCAUUUUUCUGCUAA